AUUGAACGCUGGCGGCAGGCCUAACACAUGCAAGUCGAACGAGUGGCGGACGGGUGAGUAAUGUCUGGGAAACUGCCCGAUGGAGGGGGAUAACUACUGGAAACGGUAGCUAAUACCGCAUACCAUCGGAUGUGCCCAGAUGGGAUUAGCUAGUAGGUGGGGUAACGGCUCACCUAGGCGACGAUCCCUAGCUGGUCUGAGAGGAUGACAGGCCACACUGGAACUGGAAAACGUCCCAGACCCCGACGUGAGGCAGCGGUGGGGAAUAUUGCCCAAUGGGCGCAAGCCUGAGGCAGCCAUGCCGCGUGUAUGAAGAAGGCCUUCGGUUGGUAAAGUACUUUCAGCGAGGAGACGUUACUCGCAGAAGAAGCACCGGCUAACUCCGUGCCAGCAGCCGCGGUAAUUC
RNAcentral lists this ribosomal RNA (406 nucleotides) under uncultured bacterium. RNAcentral describes it as "partial 16S ribosomal RNA". It matches the Rfam family "Bacterial small subunit ribosomal RNA", at positions 30 to 526 of the family's 1533-position model. The record is from RNAcentral.